This 273-nucleotide long non-coding RNA is filed under the name Homo sapiens (human). RNAcentral describes it as "non-protein coding LINC02185:26". Lineage: Eukaryota; Metazoa; Chordata; Mammalia; Primates; Hominidae. The record is from RNAcentral.
GGCAGAAGUAGACGCAAUUAAACAUGAAGGAUUGUGAAGGCAAAAGAUGAACCAGCCAGCCUAGUCUCUGGAUGCAUAAGCUCCAAGUGUGGAGGAGACCCGGAGAGAAAAGCAGACUGUUCUCUGUGUUUACCUGUAAGCACAGGCCGCAACCUGCCAUGCUGUUUUUAAAUGCCCAAGAGCUGGUGACAAGAGGGUUUCCCUUUGCCAUCUGGACCUGAUUGCCUUAGAGAGUGCUUUCCUUUAACUCCUCUCAAUUCAUCCUCCCAAAAC